AAGGAGCUGGGAUCCCCAGGCAGAGCAGACUCUCUCAGUGCUGAUUGCCAAUCAGAAACAGGACGCCCGUCUCCCUUGCCACACCGUCUCCGCUGCGUGGACACAUUUAGGGGGAUAUCUCUCGUCCUCAUGGUCUUCGUGAAUUAUGGAGGUGGAAAGUAUUGGUACUUCAAACAUUCAAGUUGGAACGGACUGACAGUGGCUGACCUUGUGUUCCCAUGGUUUGUAUUUAUUAUGGGAUCUUCAGUUUUUUUAUCAAUGACCUCUAUACUACAACGAGGAUGUUCUAAAUUCAGAUUUUCGAGAU
Nannospalax galili (Upper Galilee mountains blind mole rat) is the source of this 307-nucleotide long non-coding RNA. RefSeq lists it as uncharacterized. The transcript has 4 exons. NCBI's taxonomy places the organism in Eukaryota, Metazoa, Chordata, Mammalia, Rodentia, Spalacidae. The record is from RefSeq and is a predicted model, not a curated record.